Molecule: ribosomal RNA, 590 nt
Filed under: Tetracapsuloides sp. 2 PBS-2014
Lineage: Eukaryota; Metazoa; Cnidaria; Myxozoa; Malacovalvulida; Saccosporidae
Description: SSU rRNA
Rfam family: Eukaryotic small subunit ribosomal RNA
Source: RNAcentral
AAAAGAGACAUUUGGGGGCAUAAGAACUCGGCCGCGAGAGGUGAAAUUCUAAGACCGGCCGGGGUCUAACAAAAGCGAAAGCAUUUGCCAAGAAUGUUUUCAUUGAUCAAGAACGAAAGUUGGAGGACCGAAAACGAUCACAUACCGUUGUAGUUCCAACUUUAAACUAUGCCGACUGUCGGGGCCAGUUCGGUACAUCCGUACUAAUUGACCUCCCAGGGAAACCAUAGCAGGGUUCUGGGGGGAGUACGGUCGCAAGUCUGAAACUUAAAGGAAUUGACGGAAGGGCACCACCAGGAGUGGAGCCUGCGGCUUAUUUUGACUCAACGCGGGGAAACUUCCCCGGCCCGGACAUCGGAAGGAUUGACAGACUGCUCGCUCUUUCAUGAUACGGUGAAGAGUGGUGCAUGGCCGUUCAUAGUUGGUGGAGCGAUUUGUCUGGCUAAUUCCGUUAACGAACGAGACUUCCUCCUUUAUUUAGUAGAUUCAAUUGGGGUUUAAGUCAACUUUUUGAAGGGACUAACGAUAUUUAAAAGCGUAGGAAGAAAUACGAUAACAGGUCUGUUAUGCCCUUAGAUGUCCGGGGCCGC